AGCAGUCGCGCGGGAAUACGAAGGGGGCUAGCGUUGUCCGGAAUUACUGGGCGUAAAGCGCACGUAGGCGGAUAUUUAAGUCAGGGGUGAAAUCCCAGAGCUCAACUCUGGAACUGCCUUUGAUACUGGGUAUCUUGAGUAUGGAAGAGGUGAGUGGAAUUCCGAGUGUAGAGGUGAAAUUCGUAGAUAUUCGGAGGAACACCAGUGGCGAAGGCGGCUCGCUGGUCCAUUACUGACGCUGAGGUGCGAAAGCGUGGGGAGCAAACAGGAUUAGAUACCCGAGUAGUCCCUGUCUCUUAUACA
This 303-nucleotide ribosomal RNA is filed under the name uncultured bacterium. RNAcentral's name for it is "partial 16S ribosomal RNA". It matches the Rfam family "Bacterial small subunit ribosomal RNA", at positions 510 to 808 of the family's 1533-position model. The record is from RNAcentral.